AACCACUUCAUACUUCAACUGGUCAAACUUCAGGUUAGUCUGACAUCUGAGGGUACGUAAGUUACAUUAUUCAGUGGUGGCACACACAUCUAGUGAAGCACAACACUAACUACAGGUGUGCCUGAACUUGAGGAGAGCAUUUUGAAGAUAACUACAAAGUUUUUGUACUUCCUGUGAAAUUGCUUGAGAAGUUCCAGACAGAAAAGGAAGUGCUGAAAUACUCAGAGAAAGGCGCUUCUCUGCCCCAGGAUGGAGUUCUGGCUGAAACUCGGUGUGAACCACUACCAGGGAAAGGAGACCAUCCCUGGGUGGGAAUGAUUCUGGCUUCUGCAAACCUAUGGCAGCUGAAGACUUCAGCUAAGAUGAAGGGCAAUAGAGUCUGACCUUUUGUGCACAUUCUUCCUACAAUAAUACAAUAAAAAUGCAGACUGUUAUUUCUGUU
Long non-coding RNA from Oxyura jamaicensis (ruddy duck), 442 nucleotides. RefSeq lists it as uncharacterized. The transcript has 2 exons. The record is from RefSeq and is a predicted model, not a curated record. Lineage: Eukaryota; Metazoa; Chordata; Aves; Anseriformes; Anatidae.